Molecule: non-coding RNA, 54 nt
Organism: Salmo salar (Atlantic salmon)
Lineage: Eukaryota; Metazoa; Chordata; Actinopteri; Salmoniformes; Salmonidae
Source: Rfam
UGCAUUCACUACCGCAAGUCGCUCUGGAUAAGAGUGUCUGCUAAAUGACUAAAA